RNAcentral lists this unclassified non-coding RNA (329 nucleotides) under soil metagenome. RNAcentral describes it as "partial contains 5.8S ribosomal RNA, internal transcribed spacer 2, and large subunit ribosomal RNA". The stretch from base 1 to 120 matches the Rfam family "5.8S ribosomal RNA", at positions 35 to 154 of the family's 154-position model. The record is from RNAcentral.
GAUGAAGAACGUAGCGAAAUGCGAUAAGUAAUGUGAAUUGCAGAAUUCAGUGAAUCAUCGAAUCUUUGAACGCACAUUGCGCCCCUUGGUAUUCCGAGGGGCAUGCCUGUUCGAGCGUCAUUAUAACCCCUCAAGCUCAGCUUGGUGUUGGGGCCUGCUGCACUGGCAGCGCUUAAAAUCAGUGGCGGCGCCAUCUGGCUCUAAGCGUAGUAAUUCUUCUCGCUAUGGAGUCCUGGUGGAUGCUUGCCAUCAACCCCCAAUUUUUCUAUGGUUGACCUCGGAUCAGGUAGGGAUACCCGCUGAACUUAAGCAUAUCAAUAAGCGGAGGA